ACGUGGGAAUCUACCAGAAAGUGGGGGAUAGUUCAUCGAAAGGUGGCUCAAUACCUCAUGUUGUCGAAAGACCAAAGCAGGGGAUCUUCGGACCUUGCGCUUUCUGAUGAGCCCGCGGCCUAUCAGCUUGUUGGUGAGGUAAAAGCUCACCAAGGCGAUGACGGGUAGCUGAUUUGAGAGGAUGAUCAGCCACACUGGGACUGAGACACGGCCCAGACACCUACGGGUGGCAGCAGUCGAGAAUCUUCCGCAAUGGGGGCAACCCUGACGGAGCGACGCCGCGUGGAGGAAGAAGGUCCU
RNAcentral lists this ribosomal RNA (300 nucleotides) under uncultured bacterium. RNAcentral's name for it is "bacterial SSU rRNA". It matches the Rfam family "Bacterial small subunit ribosomal RNA", at positions 115 to 418 of the family's 1533-position model. The record is from RNAcentral.